UCUCUCUCUCUCUCCUGUUGUUUGCAUGUAUGCGUGUAUGUAUAUGUAGAUUUCCGAUACUGAAAUCCGAAUUUGUUGAUUAGUUUAUCAAAUUUGUUCCUUUUGAUGCCGACACAAUAAGAUUGUUUAGUAUUUCUCUAUUCUGAAACUUAUGCCCUUGUGGCUUAUGCCGUAGUUUUUUUUAAUGGAGUUAACUUUAUAUUUUUUUAUAGUUUUAUCUCCUUUAUGAAACUAGAGAGAUUAACCUCAUCAAUAGAAAGGAAGAACAGAUACACUGAACAGAUACACAUUGGGGACCAUCAUUUAAGUAGUUGGAAAGAUGAAUAAAAGUGGAAUGAGUGCUCCCAAAGUUGUAUCAAAUAACUAAAUGGUUAGAACUAGAUAGAGCAACAGAGAAAGAUCAAUUUGCUGAAUUAGUUACGAUGAAAAGGCACGUUGUGUUUGUGUGUGUGGUGAUGUGGCUCCUUGUUGUUUCUGUGAUAUUUCUCUUUAGAAGUUGUGGGGGACGGAGUUCCUUCGGUGAACUUCUACCGACAUGAAUCCCUCAAAUGGUAAGACUUUUUUGUCUCGGCCUCAAAUCAUUUUGUCCUCUUAUAAAAUUCUGGUACACUACUUGUAAUGGAAUUUCACACAACAAGUUAGCCUCUAUAUUGUAAAAUUUACAGUUUCUUUAGUGAUUAGAUACACAUAUAGUACCCCAAUGCAACUGAUUCUGUUGGUUUGAACACUAUGAAUAUGGUAAGGAAAAUAUUUUGCUCUAUGAAUAUCUGACUAUUUGCUUUUCAUUUUUUGUCUUUCUAAAAACAAGUACUUAUUUGAAAAAUAAGAUGACAAUUCAAGCAGCAAAUCAACAACGAUUUCAAUCCCAUGGUUACUUGGCCGUAAUAUAGAGACACAUACAAGGCAUACGAAAAAUAUUUAGGGUGUCUAAAAAACAAAGUUUAGGGGUCAACUUUAUUUGCUGUCUGCAAAUUAUGCAAUUCAUUUCUUUACUAAGAAAGUAGCUCAUCUAACAUCUAAAUUGAGAUCAAUCACCUCAACCUGUCUUUUUCUCUCCUAGUAUAAAAAAAUGCUUCAAGUUUAUUGACUUUAAUUUUGUGGGAAGCUUCAGAGUCUCAGAGUUUGUACUUUGUAAUAACGAUUACUAAACCAACACUUGGUUCCACAGGCUCAGCUUGAUCAGCCUGUCCUCAUUGUUACACCUGCUCCAUUGAGCAUGACUUCCUUGUAAUGAAUCUUCUCCCUCGCACCACAUCCGGAUGCCUCUAGCGCGCACCGUGAAAUGACAGUUGGCAAUAACCAAGUAAGUCCAGAAGAGAUAAAUCUAGCACACCGGUCGCAGCCAGAACCAACUCCAUUUCCACGACCGAAUCAACAAGCUAAUUCUUAUCAUCAGUGCGAGCAAGCUGAGGCAAGUCGAGAUGCUUGCAAGACUACAAGAGUCACAAACAAGAAAAGAAGAACAUCGCAAAAUGGUUCAAAUUGAGUUUCUUUGGGGCAUCUUUGUGUCUGUUUUUGCUGCUUUCGCUUGUUUGCUCUUCUUUGGGGGGUAUAAGUUCUUCACUGGAGGCAAGAAAAACAAGGAAGAGGUUUAUCGAAGUUAAAGAUGGUGUAGAAUCAAGUGGCUACUUGACGUAAUGUGAUGUUUGUUUACUAUGGUGGUACCAAGACCUAAUGUUAUGUUCAUCUAUUAUGGUAGAUUUUUUGUUUUUUGGAAAAUAUUUGGUUGAACGUAGUAGAGAUAUUGAAAGACAACAAUGGGUUAUGGCAGGAAGCUCUAUUUUGACAUUAGUUGGGCUAUGAGACUUUUAAUACUUUGAGAGCUUAUAUGUUAGAUGAGUUUGAGAAGUUGUAUGCUUAAAUUAGUUAAUUGGAUGUGAAAAAUGGUGGAAUAGGGCUAAAUUUUCAAAAUUAAUCUAGUGAUAUAUUACCGGCGUUUUUGUAUGUUAUUUCAGGCGUUUAUUAACUGGCGGAAAGUUCCCGGUGUUUAAAAAAACCCCGGUAAAAAAAAUAAGCCUAGUACUUUACCCGGCGUUUUAACAAACCC
Rhododendron vialii is the source of this 2047-nucleotide long non-coding RNA. RefSeq lists it as uncharacterized. The transcript has 6 exons. The record is from RefSeq and is a predicted model, not a curated record. NCBI's taxonomy places the organism in Eukaryota, Viridiplantae, Streptophyta, Magnoliopsida, Ericales, Ericaceae.